GGUGAACGCUAGCGGUGCGCCUAACACAUGCAAGUCGAGCGGUAGAUUUGAUAGCUUGCUAUUAAAUUGAGAGCGGCGAACGGGUGAGUAACAUGUUGAAAUCUGCCCCCAAGUCAGGGAUAGCCAUUGGAAACGAUGAUUAAUACCGGAUGUGCUCUACGGAGUAAAGAUUUAUUGCUUGGGGAGGAGUCUACAUUCUAUCAGUUAGUUGGUGAGGUAAAGGCUUACCAAGACUAUGACGGAUAGCUGGUCUGAGAGGAUCAGCCACAAUGAAACUGAGACACGGUUCAUACUCCUACGGGAGGCAGCAGUGAGGAAUCUUCCACAAUGGACGAAAGUCUGAUGGAGCGACACCGCGUGAAGGAUGAAUGCCUAACGGUUGUAAACUUCUUUUCUGAAGGAGCAUAAUGAGAGUACUUCAGGAAUAAGGGACGGCUAAAUACGUGCCAGCAGCCGCGGUAAUACGUAUGUCCCGAGUGUUACCCGGAAUUAUUGGGUGUAAAGGGUUCGUAGGCGGACUGAUAAGUUGGAUAUUAAAGACUGAGGCUCAACCUCAUGUUUGUGUUCCAAAACUGCUAGUCUAGAAUUAGGGAGAGGUAAGUGGAAUUCUGUGUGUAGGGGUGCAAUCCGUAGAUACACAGAGGAACACCAAAAGCGAAGGCAACUUACUGGAACUAUAUUGACGCUGAUGAACGAAAGCGUGGGUAGCGAAAAGGAUUAGAUACCCUUGUAGUCCACGCCCUAAAUGAUGAUAACUAAGUGUUGGGGCUAGACCUCAGUGCUGAAGCUAACGCAUUAAGUUAUCCACCUGAGGAGUACGGUCGCAAGAUUAAAACUCAAAGGAAUAGACGGGGACCCGCACAAGCAGUGGAUCACGUGGUUUAAUUCGAUAAUAAACGGGGAACCUUACCCAGACUUGACAUCCUAAGAAUUCCACAGAGAUGAGGAAGUGCCUUUAUUGGAACUUAGUGACAGGUGCUGCAUGGUUGUCGUCAGCUCGUGCCUUGAGGUGUUCGGUUAAGUCCGUUAACGAGCGCAACCCAUGUCUCUAGUUAUUAUGUCUAGAGAGACUGCCUUGGUUAACAAGGAGGAAGGUGUGGAUGACGUCAAAUCAGCAUGGCUUUUACGUCUGGGGCUACACACAUGAUACAAUGGUAUGUACCAAAGGGUAGCAAUACAGCAAUGUUGAGCUAAUCCUAAAAGCAUAUCUUAGUCCGGAUUGGAGUCUGCAACUCGACUCCAUGAAGUUGGAAUUGCUAGUAAUCGUGAAUCAGAUAUGUCACGGUGAAUAUGUUCCUGGGUCUUGUACUCACCGCCCGUCACGGCAUGGGAGGUAGUAAUAUCGGAAGCUCCCUUGGUAAUAGAGGGGUCCAUGGUAGGACUACUGACUGGGCUGAAGUCGUAACAAGGUAACC
Molecule: ribosomal RNA, 1415 nt
Filed under: uncultured bacterium
Lineage: Bacteria
Description: 16S ribosomal RNA
Rfam family: Bacterial small subunit ribosomal RNA
Source: RNAcentral